RNAcentral lists this ribosomal RNA (446 nucleotides) under uncultured bacterium. RNAcentral describes it as "bacterial SSU rRNA". It matches the Rfam family "Bacterial small subunit ribosomal RNA", at positions 63 to 524 of the family's 1533-position model. The record is from RNAcentral.
UUUAUUGAAGCUUCGGUCGAUUUAAUUUAAUUCUAGUGGCGGACGGGUGAGUAACGCGUGGGUAACCUGCCUUAUACAGGGGGAUAACAGUCAGAAAUGGCUGCUAAUACCGCAUAAGCGCACAGAGCUGCAUGGCUCAGUGUGAAAAACUCCGGUGGUAUAAGAUGGACCCGCGUUGGAUUAGCUGUUGGUGGGGUAACGGCCCACCAAGGCGACGAUCCAUAGCCGGCCUGAGAGGGUGAACGGCCACAUUGGGACUGAGACACGGCCCAGACUCCUACGGGAGGCAGCAGUGGGGAAUAUUGCACAAUGGGGGAAACCCUGAUGCAGCGACGCCGCGUGAAGGAAGAAGUAUCUCGGUAUGUAAACUUCUAUCAGCAGGGAAGAUAAGUGACGGUACCUGACUAAGAAGCCCCGGCUAACUACGUGCCAGCAGCCGCGGUAAU